Molecule: ribosomal RNA, 5475 nt
Filed under: Triticum aestivum (bread wheat)
Lineage: Eukaryota; Viridiplantae; Streptophyta; Magnoliopsida; Poales; Poaceae
Description: partial small subunit ribosomal RNA
Source: RNAcentral
AUGAGGGAACAAGAAGUCGACGUCACCCCUCUGUUGGGCCCUAGCUCCGACAGCGACGGGGGCGGCGGUGGGAGAGACGACCCGUCCUCCCCGCGCUCUCCACCAUCCCCGCGCGAUGGCCCCGGAGACGAAGACCGCCACAACCCUGUUCUGAUUCGACGCGAUCAGGGCGCUGCGGGAGCUGGGUCCUCCCGCCGGGGGGCUCUUUCUGCGCCCGUGGCCUCGCGCAGUGAGCGGGUGCUCGGCCUGCUGCCUGUGCCUUGCGGCCCCAUGGCCGGCCAUCUUGUUCUCCCGGACGUGCAAGGACAGUGCAUCUCCUCCAAGCCCACUCAAGUUCAGAUCGACGUCUCGGAUGGCUUCUUCGAAAUCCUAGCGGUCGGCGCUGGGGGCGAGCGUGCUUUCUAUAAAAUCCCGAUGCAACCGCUUCGCCUCACGGGCUCCAAGGGCAUGCUCGUCGUCAACCUCUGCUCCGCCUCUGUCGGAGUCAUCGACUCCAUCAUCCCCAAGCAUGAGGGGGUGCGUGCUACCCUCUCUGCGGACAUCAUCGUUCGGGCGCCUGCACCUGAAGAUCAUUGGCGAAACCUCUCGCUUGCCGAGCUCGAAUGGGAAGUGGUGGCGGCCGUGGGUGCCCUGCCCCAGCCGACGGUCCCUUUCGCCUCCACUCUUGUAGGUGUCCGGGCUGCCCUGCGGGCUCAGGCGACGCCCACGCCCACGCCCCCGCCGAGCGCCACCACGACGGCCCUCCCCGUGGCCAUCCCAGUCCCUGAUGCUGCCCCUCUCCUGGAGGGCGGAGAGGCCCCUUUGGCUGAAGAGGCGCCUAUCCCCCUGUUGGACGAGGGGCCACCCGCUGAUGUUGCUGCUCUGCCGGGCGAUGCGGGCGGCGACCCUGUCUCCGGCUUCUCUGCGCUCUCGCCCCUGUUGGAUGGGCUGAGCGAUGUCUCCUCGGCCGCUCCGGGUGUGCGCGCUCCACCGUCUUCUGCCGUGUUUGAUCACAUCCUUGCUCGAGUGGAUGAUAGUGCUAUCCCUGCACUGGAUUUCCCUGAUCCAUGGGUGGGUGCUCUGCCAGCCGUACCGGAGCCCGAGUGUCGUCGCAGCGGCCGUCUCACGCUGACCGAGCCUGCUGGUUACGUCCCCAUGGUGGACCGAGCCGUGGCGAUCAAGAAAAGGAAGUUGGGCGUGGUGACUGCCGCGUCUCCCGCUACAUCGCCUCCUCCCUCGCCACCAACUGCCAUCCCCGUUCUGAUGGACAUGGGACGCGCCUGUGCGGUGCCUGAAGAAGAUUUGGCUCUACUGGAAUCUGCCCCUGGUGCAACUGCUCGCCGCCGAGGCGGGCGGGCGGAAGCUAAACUGCAAAACGUUCCUGUCUUCAAAGCCCUUGCUUUCCUCCCUGGUCAUGUUGCUCGCUCCUUGGUGUUUCAGGCCAGUACCGGGGCUUCGGGCGAACUGAUCACUGCCUGGGACGAUCGGGUGCUGGAGCUCGUGUCAUCUUCUCAGCUCCCCGGCCUCCUCACAGCUCGUUUGCGCUACCGGGCCUCGGGGCUCUGCCUUACUAUUACCAAUGCUUACGGCCCCUGUGCCGGUCCUGAUCGAGCUCUCUUCCUGAACAAUAUUACUGCCACUGCUGGGGGGAUCCUUGAGCCGUGUUUCAACGACUGCAUUGACGAGGCGGCCCUGCUUGAGCUGCCUUUGCUUGACCGGCUGUUCACCUGGAGUAACCGUCAUAGGGAGCCUGUGCUCGUCAAACUGGAUCGCUUCUUUGUCAACAACGACUGGUGCACCGCUUUCCCUGAUUCGGCUGUCACCUCCAUUGCUUCUAGGGCCUCGGACCAUGUUCCGAUUGUCCUCACUGCUGCAACUGUUGUUCCGUGUGCCUCGAUCUUCAGGUUCAGUGACCAUUGGUUUGGAUACCCCGGCCUGGCUGCUGCACUUGAAACUGCUGACUCCCCCGUCAACCCCACCUUCGCGCCCGCGAAGCGCCUGUCCGUUCGGCUGAAGAAAUUUCGCAGCGCUCUCAAGAGAUGGUCAAGAUCAAUCAAGCACCCUGACAUGAUUGUUGCCAAGUGCAAUGAGGUCAUCAGGUUCCUGGACUCUUUGGAAGAGCAACGCAGCCUUUCUGACCCCGAGUUUCUCCUGCGCUCUCUUGUCCAGAGCUCUCUGUCCUUACACCUCAAGCGGGCUGCAGCCUUCUGGAGACGUCGAGGGAAAAUCAGGUUCUGCGUCUUGGGCGACGAGAACACCAAGUUUUUCCAUGCUUGCUCGUCUGCACGCCGCCGUGGGAACCAGAUUGCAUGCCUCGUCCGCGACGGGGUCGAGCACCGAGCCCACAACGACAAGGCUCGUAUCCUGCGUGAUUUCUACCUAAACCUGCUUGGGACUGAAACGCCGGUUGUGGACAACCUAGACUUGCACCAGUUGAUGUCUGGUGCUAGAUUGGACUCUGCCCAGUCGCUCGCCCUCGACCAACCGUUCUCCAACGCUGAAAUCAAAGCUGCUGUCUUCGGAAUGCGGGCUGGGGGAGCCCCUGGGCCAGAUGGUUUCGGCCCUGCCUUCUUCCAGCACGCCUGGACUCGUCUGGCCCCAGACCUUCAGGAACUGGCUGCUGAAUUCUUUGAUCACAAGACUGACCUGUCGGGCAUCAACAGGUCGUUCGUCACACUGAUCCCGAAGAUGGACGCACCUACGUCGCCGUCGAACUUCAGACCCAUCUCGCUCCAGAACUGUCCCCCGAAGAUGUUGUCGCGCAUGAUGACGAGUCGGCUUCAACCACUCAUCCCUUUCCUCGUCCACCCGGAGCAGACUGGGUUCUUGCGCGGGAGGUGUAUCUCUGAGAAUUUCGUCUUGGCUGCAGAGCUGCUGCUCGCCAAGAUCCAUGCCCCCCCAGAAGCCGGUUGGCAAACGUGGUUCUCCUCCCAGUAUGGGUGGGCCGGCGUGCGUGACCUGGGUGACGCCGGCCGCCUAGACACCCCCACAUGGAAGUCCCUCUUGGCGCUGCUGCCGCUCUUCCGGGAGAGCACAGCGUGCGUGGUGGGGAACGGAGAACACACAGCCUUCUGGUGUGAUCUUUGGCUGGGUGAGACAACGCUCGAGCUCCGGUUUCCUGCACUCUUCUCGCACUCUGUGCGCCCCAACACGUGCGUUGCUGUUGCCCUGCAGGGGCUGGACGCUCAGCUGCGCCCCCGGCUCUCUUCCGCUGCUUGCUCUGAACUCGCUCGUCUCAAGGAAGAGCUCAGAGGGGUGACCCUGCACCACGGCAUGCAGGAUGUUCGUUCGCUGCGGGUCAGCGGGGCUGUGUUCACAGCCAGAGGGGCGUAUCGGGCUGCCAUGGCGGUGCACGAACCGGACAACUUCGCGCCCACCAUUUGGCGCAGCUUCGCCCCCGGCAAGUGCAAAUUCUUCUUUUGGUUGUGCCACCGCCGGUGUCUUCCCUGUCGAAGACACAUCAUUGACGGGGCCGCCUGUGCCUUCUGUGGUCAGGAUGAAACAUUGGAGCACUUGCUGUUCGGCUGUGCACACGCCAGUGCCAUAUGGGCCCUAGUUGCUCCGGGGACAGCGGCCACCCAGUCUGUCGAGGGCCUCUUCUACGCCUCGAAUGCAGGCCUGCCGGGUGUCCCCCGCAUGCGAAUCGUGGGUGCAGCGCUUUGCUGCCUUGCCGUAGUUUCUCAGUUCCCGGUCCCCGCUGGGAUUGUAAGGGUGUCAGGUCCCCGCUGGGAUUGUAAGGGUGUCAGGGCCUCCCUACACCUAUCGCUCUCUCUCUCCCUUAAGUCGACGUACCUGAGCUCGUUCGUGACGUCCUCCUCGCCCUCGCCGUCUCCAUCUCCCAUGUCGAGCGCGCCGACCACGACUCUGCAUCCGAGACCAGUCGCGCCCGAGAUGGAGCCGCCGAGGAAGCGGGCGGGUGUGCCUAGGAGGGGGCGGAGCCCGAGCGCCCCGGCCGUGCAGCCGUGCCCCACCGCGUCGGCAACGGCACUCCGUGGAGAGACAGCGGCGUCCGUUAUGGUUGGCCGCGAGUUGAGCUUGUGCCACGGACGACGGGAACUCGACGAGGACAGGGCCGAGCGCGGAUCUUGCUCCCGCGAGGCCCACGGCAUUGACGUCCUCCUCGCCGUGGCCCUCGCCACCUUCAUCACCCAGAGACGAGGGCGUCCGCUGUGGCUGGCCGCUACGUCGGCGCGCGCCACGAACGGGAGCCCGGCGAGGACGGGUCCGAGCGCGGAUGCUGCUCCCGCGUGGUCCACAGGGUUGAAGCCCUCUUGCGUGGUCGAGCUCACGGACGACGACUCCGCGGGCCGGAACCUGGCGAACAGUGACCACCACGCCGGAUGCCGCUUUCCACUGCGGCCCGCAUGCCGGGGCGUGCGUUCACGGACGUGUUUUAGGAAGGAGACCCGGGGAAGGAAGUGGGCAGGUGGAGACGGGGAUUGGUGUCCAUGGGCCAAGAAGCGCUAUAUUUAUAUAGCUGUAAGGCAGUUGGUUGAUGUGCUUCCAGAUAUUUCUAAGCAGUUUUUUGUAGACACGUGUGCACACGUCCCACCAACUAACAACCAGAGUAAACAGCGCCAAUAUUUUGGCGAAGCAUUUCGGCGCCCUCGUCUCGCCCACGAAUUGGCGCGAAUAACAAGGACGGAAGCCGGGCAAGCUGGGCAAGCCAAUUCUUCGGCGCUGAUCCAAACAGGAGUUAAUUGCACAGAAGUAUCACAAUUCGGGUAUCAUAUGCAGAUUGCGGGGCCCGCCCGUCAGGUGCCGACGUGGCAUGUUUUUUUGCAGAAAACCCCCGUCCCUCUCUUCCCCCACACACGACACAACCAACCAAGCCCGGCCGCGCCCCCUCCUCCCCCUCUUCGCUUCCCCACCCUAGCCACCGCCCGCCCGCCCGCAGCCAUGACGGCGUGGACCCGGCUUGUCACCGGCGCCGCGCGCCUCGGUGCCGCAUCCGCUCUCGCGCUCCACGCCGCUGCCACCCGCGCCUCCGCCCUGCUCCGCCCCGCCGCCGACUCCAUCCGCGCCGGCGUGGCGCUCCCUGGCGCGCCCGCCACCCACAUCCUGGCGCUCCCGGGCCCCGACGGCGCGGUCGGCGGCGACCCGUUCGCGGCCUCGCUAUCCGUGCCGCCGCCGUCCUACGUGCAGAUGGCCGAGAUGGAGAGGAAGCAGGAGCUGCUGGCGCAGGAGCAGAGGAUGUGGGCGCAGUACCGGCAGGGCGGGAUGCAGGGGCAGGCCGGCCUCAACGGGCUCGCCGUCGGCGGCGGCGGGAGCGCGUUCGCGUCCGACUCCUCGUGGAGCGCGCGGGGUGGAGAUGGAGGCGGGCGCAGAGGGAGAGGGCGAGGGCGAGGGCGGCGAGGCGGCGCGGAGCGAGAGGGCGAGGGCGAGGGCGAGGGCGAGGGCAGGGGUUUUCUGCAAAAAAAACAUGCCACGUCGGCACCUGACGGGCGGGCCCCGCUAGUCAGAUACACCGUCAAUACGUGUUUAUACACAGUUUAG